AUGGCGCAGCAUAAGCGUGCAGUUUCCACCCUCGUUCUUCUCCUCCUCCUCCUGUUCUUCUCGGCGUCGACGAAUGCCACACGGCCACCAGCAACGCUCCGCAUCCCCGUCGUCCACCGCGACGCGGUCUUCCCGCCGCCGCCGGGCGCCAGCCGGGGUAGCCUCCUAAGCCGCCGCGCGGCUGCCGACGCCGCACGCUACGCGGCCCUCAAGGCGUCCCUCUGCCUCCGCCGCUCCUCCGCGCACGACGACCGCCUCCACUCCCCGGUCAUGUCCGGGCUCCCCUUCGACAGCGGCGAGUACUUCGCGUCCAUCGGCGUGGGCACCCCGUCCACCACCGCGCUGCUGGUCAUCGACACCGGCAGCGACCUCAUCUGGCUCCAGUGCAAGCCCUGCCGCCGCUGCCACCGCCAGAUGAGCCUGCUCUACGACCCCAAGGACUCCAGCACCUACCGCCAGAUCCCCUGCUCGUCGCCGCGGUGCUUCCCUCGCCAGGGCUGCGACAGCAGCACCGGGGCCUGCGGGUACACCAUGGUCUACGGCGACGGCUCCGGCAGCAGGGGCAACCUCGCCACCGACAGGCUCGUCUUCUCCAACGACACGUCCGUGGACAGCAUCGUCAUCGGGUGCGGCCACGACAACGAGGAGCUGUUCGACUCGUCGGCCGGGGUGCUGGGCGUCGGCCGCGGCACCGGCUCCCUGGCGACGCAGGUGGCGCCGACCUACGGGCGCUACUUCGCCUACUGCCUCGGCGACCGCACGUCCGUCGCGCGGAGCAGCGCCUCCUACCUCGCCUUCGGCCGCACGCCGGAGCCGCCGUCCACGGCCUUCACCCCGCUGCUGUCCAACCCGCGGCGCCCCAACCUGUACUACGUGAACAUGGCCGGGUUCAGCGUCGGCGGCGAGCGUGUCGCCGGCGGGUUCUGCAGCUCCGGCCUCUGGCUCGACCCGGCGAACGGGCGGGGCGGCGUGGUGGUGGACUCGGGCACGUCCAUAUCGCGGCUCCCCAGGGACGCGUACGCGGCGCUGCGCGACGCCUUCGACGCGCGCGCGGCCGCGGCCGGGAUGCGGAGGCUGGCCCGGGGCAUCUCGGUGUUCGACGCGUGCUACGAGCUCCGAGGCGCCAGCGUGCCGGCAGUGACGCUGCACUUUGCCGGCGGGGCGGACGUGGCGCUGCCCCCGGAGAACUACUUCAUACCCGAGCAGGGCGGGAGGUACCACUGCCUGGCGCUGGAGGCGACGGACGACGGGCUCAGCGUGGUCGGCAACGUCCUGCAGCAGGGGUUCCGGGUCGUGUUUGACGUCGAGAAGGAGCGUGUCGGGUUCGCGCCAAAUGGCUGCUAA
This 1344-nucleotide ribosomal RNA is filed under the name Triticum aestivum (bread wheat). Its description in RNAcentral is "partial small subunit ribosomal RNA". Lineage: Eukaryota; Viridiplantae; Streptophyta; Magnoliopsida; Poales; Poaceae. The record is from RNAcentral.